CUUUAAGCGAGGAGGAGGCUACUUUAGUUAAUACCUAGAGAUAGUGGACGUUACUCGCAGAAUAAGCACCGGCUAACUCUGUGCCAGCAGCCGCGGUAAUACAGAGGGUGCGAGCGUUAAUCGGAUUUACUGGGCGUAAAGCGUGCGUAGGCGGCUUAUUAAGUCGGAUGUGAAAUCCCCGAGCUUAACUUGGGAAUUGCAUUCGAUACUGGUGAGCUAGAGUAUGGGAGAGGAUGGUAGAAUUCCAGGUGUAGCGGUGAAAUGCGUAGAGAUCUGGAGGAAUACCGAUGGCGAAGGCAGCCAUCUGGCCUAAUACUGACGCUGAGGUACGAAAGCAUGGGGAGCAAACAGGAUUAGAUACCCUGGUAGUCCAUGCCGUAAACGAUGUCUACUAGCCGUUGGGGCCUUUGAGGCUUUAGUGGCGCAGCUAACGCGAUAAGUAGACCGCCUGGGGAGUACGGUCGCAAGACUAAAACUCAAAUGAAUUGACGGGGGCCCGCACAAGCGGUGGAGCAUGUGGUUUAAUUCGAUGCAACGCGAAGAACCUUACCUGGCCUUGACAUACUAGAAACUUUCCAGAGAUGGAUUGGUGCCUUCGGGAAUCUAGAUACAGGUGCUGCAUGGCUGUCGUCAGCUCGUGUCGUGAGAUGUUGGGUUAAGUCCCGCAACGAGCGCAACCCUUUUCCUUACUUGCCAGCAUUUCGGAUGGGAACUUUAAGGAUACUGCCAGUGACAAACUGGAGGAAGGCGGGGACGACGUCAAGUCAUCAUGGCCCUUACGGCCAGGGCUACACACGUGCUACAAUGGUCGGUACAAAGGGUUGCUACACAGCGAUGUGAUGCUAAUCUCAAAAAGCCGAUCGUAGUCCGGAUUGGAGUCUGCAACUCGACUCCAUGAAG
Molecule: ribosomal RNA, 900 nt
Filed under: Acinetobacter baumannii
Lineage: Bacteria; Pseudomonadati; Pseudomonadota; Gammaproteobacteria; Moraxellales; Moraxellaceae
Description: bacterial SSU rRNA
Rfam family: Bacterial small subunit ribosomal RNA
Source: RNAcentral